RNAcentral lists this transfer RNA (92 nucleotides) under Moniliophthora perniciosa FA553. It matches the Rfam family "tRNA". From Rfam's summary of the family: Transfer RNA (tRNA) molecules are approximately 80 nucleotides in length. Their secondary structure includes four short double-helical elements and three loops (D, anti-codon, and T loops). Further hydrogen bonds mediate the characteristic L-shaped molecular structure. tRNAs have two regions of fundamental functional importance: the anti-codon, which is responsible for specific mRNA codon recognition, and the 3' end, to which the tRNAs corresponding amino acid is attached (by aminoacyl-tRNA synthetases). tRNAs cope with the degeneracy of the genetic code in two manners: having more than one tRNA (with a specific anti-codon) for a particular amino acid; and 'wobble' base-pairing, i.e. permitting non-standard base-pairing at the 3rd anti-codon position. Lineage: Eukaryota; Fungi; Basidiomycota; Agaricomycetes; Agaricales; Marasmiaceae. The record is from Rfam by way of RNAcentral.
GAUCCCUUAGCUCAGCGGUAGAGCAUCUGAUUCCAGUGGAUCUUGGGAACCCAGUAUCCAGAAGGUCAUCCGUUCAAUCCGGGUAGGGGUCA